CUCUCUGUCCCCGCCCUGUUCUAUGGAUUCCGUUAACUCCUGGGUCCCUCUCAGCCCGGGGUGGGGUGGAUUAAAUCGCCUCCCCCGCGGGAGCAGAGGUCACCAGCAGGAAAGGGUCCAUGCCAGGACGCAGGCCCAAGCAUGUGGUUGCCUGACACUGCCUGCCAGGGGGACUGCUGUGACAGUCCUGGGCGCUGACAGAGUACCACGCACGGUACACCGAGCAGGGCAUCCCCGAGCACUGCCUGCCAUGGAUAAGCGCGGGCUGAGCUCCACCCUGCUCAGAAGCCUGGAUUGUGCCGUCACAGUCCUGCAGACCCAGCCAUACCCACGGCCAGGGAGCGCAGCAAGGUCCGAGGGAGCACCUUGGACAUCAAGGCCCAAGAGAGCAGCAGGACAGACCCACCCGAGCGCAGCGGGAGUUACCCGAGCAGAGACGCUUCCCAAGGAUGGACUGGGCGGUUGGAAGCACCCGCAGUGACCUUAUGGGACGUCUGAAGCAGCUAAGAGAUCUCUGCUGCGAAGAUGAAGUUUACAAAGAAAAACUCUGUAUUGGUACUCAUAAUUAACGACCCUUUGCCAGAAAGAUCUUCGGAUGAGUAAAAUCUGGUUGCCACAGCUAGAACACAGCUCAAUAAACCUCAGUCAAAUGUCUUUGUUUUGUGCUUAGCAGAAGGGAAUACCAGAGAGGGGAAGGCACUUGCCUC
RNAcentral lists this long non-coding RNA (707 nucleotides) under Chinchilla lanigera (long-tailed chinchilla). RNAcentral describes it as "lncRNA (ENSCLAG00000024505.1)". The record is from RNAcentral. Lineage: Eukaryota; Metazoa; Chordata; Mammalia; Rodentia; Chinchillidae.